Molecule: ribosomal RNA, 1019 nt
Filed under: Bacillus sp. KM7
Lineage: Bacteria; Bacillati; Bacillota; Bacilli; Caryophanales; Bacillaceae
Description: bacterial SSU rRNA
Rfam family: Bacterial small subunit ribosomal RNA
Source: RNAcentral
GGGGGACGGUUGACCGGAAUGAUUGGGCGUAAAGCGCGCGCAGGUGGUUCCUUAAGUCCUGAUGUGAAAGCCCACGGCUCAACCGUUGGAGGGUCAUUUGGAAAACUGGGGAGCUUUGAGUCGCAGAAGUGGAAAGUGGAAUUCCAAGUGUAGCGGUGAAAUGCUUAGAGAUUUGGAGGAACACCAGUGGCGAAGGCGACUUUCUGGUCUGUAACUGACACUGAGGCGCGAAAGCGUGGGGAGCAAACAGGAUUAGAUACCCUGGUAGUCCACGCCGUAAACGAUGAGUGCUAAGUGUUAGAGGGUUUCCGCCCUUUAGUGCUGCAGCUAACGCAUUAAGCACUCCGCCUGGGGAGUACGGCCGCAAGGCUGAAACUCAAAGGAAUUGACGGGGGCCCGCACAAGCGGUGGACAUGUGGUUUAAUUCGAAGCAACGCGAAGAACCUUACCAGGUCUUGACAUCCUCUGACAACCCUAGAGAUAGGGCUUUCCCCUUCGGGGGACAGAGUGACAGGUGGUGCAUGGUUGUCGUCAGCUCGUGUCGUGAGAUGUUGGGUUAAGUCCCGCAACGAGCGCAACCCUUGAUCUUAGUUGCCAGCAUUCAGUUGGGCACUCUAAGGUGACUGCCGGUGACAAACCGGAGGAAGGUGGGGAUGACGUCAAUCAUCAUGCCCCUUAUGACCUGGGCUACACACGUGCUACAAUGGAUGGUACAAAGGGCUGCAAACCUGCGAAGGUAACGAAUCCCAUAAAGCCUUCUCAGUUCGGAUUGCAGCUGGCACUCGCCUGCAUGAAGCCGGAAUCGCUAGUAAUCGCGGAUCAGCAUGCCGCCGGUGAAUACCGUUCCCGGGCCUUGUACACACCGCCCGUCACACCACGAGAGUUUUUGUACACCGAAGUCGGUGAAGUAACCUUCAUGGAGCCAGCCGCCUAAGGGUGGACAGAUGAAUUGGGGUGAAGUCGUAACAAGGUAGCCGUAUCGAAAGUGCGUGAAAAACCCCUCCUAUAUAAGGGGGAAG